This 64-nucleotide transfer RNA is filed under the name Cavia porcellus (domestic guinea pig). It matches the Rfam family "tRNA". From Rfam's summary of the family: Transfer RNA (tRNA) molecules are approximately 80 nucleotides in length. Their secondary structure includes four short double-helical elements and three loops (D, anti-codon, and T loops). Lineage: Eukaryota; Metazoa; Chordata; Mammalia; Rodentia; Caviidae. The record is from Rfam by way of RNAcentral.
GGGGAUUUAGCUCAGUGGCAUAAGCACCUGCCUUGCAAGCAGGCUCAAGCGAGUUUAAUCCCCA